RNAcentral lists this ribosomal RNA (106 nucleotides) under Globisporangium polare. RNAcentral's name for it is "Pythium polare partial 5.8S ribosomal RNA". It matches the Rfam family "5.8S ribosomal RNA", at positions 53 to 154 of the family's 154-position model. Rfam says of the family: 5.8S ribosomal RNA (5.8S rRNA) is a component of the large subunit of the eukaryotic ribosome. Lineage: Eukaryota; Oomycota; Peronosporomycetes; Pythiales; Pythiaceae. RNAcentral also lists the same sequence under 1 other name. The record is from RNAcentral.
CUGCGAUACGUAAUGCGAAUUGCAGAAUUCAGUGAGUCAUCGAAAUUUUGAACGCAUAUUGCACUUCCGGGUUAUGCCUGGAAGUAUGUCUGUAUCAGUGUCCGUA